This 345-nucleotide unclassified non-coding RNA is filed under the name soil metagenome. RNAcentral describes it as "partial contains 5.8S ribosomal RNA, internal transcribed spacer 2, and large subunit ribosomal RNA". The stretch from base 1 to 120 matches the Rfam family "5.8S ribosomal RNA", at positions 35 to 154 of the family's 154-position model. The record is from RNAcentral.
GAUGAAGAACGCAGCGAAAUGCGAUACGUAAUGUGAAUUGCAGAAUUCAGUGAAUCAUCGAGUCUUUGAACGCACAUUGCGCCCCCUGGUAUUCCGGGGGGCAUGCCUGUCCGAGCGUCAUUGCUGCCCUCAAGCACGGCUUGUGUGUUGGGCCUCCGUCCUCCUCCCGGGGGACGGGCCCGAAAGGCAGCGGCGGCACCGCGUCCGGUCCCCGAGCGUAUGGGGCUUCGUCACCCGCUCUUGUAGGCCCGGCCGGCGCUUGCCGACACAUCAAUCUUUUUUCCAGGUUGACCUCGGAUCAGGUAGGGAUACCCGCUGAACUUAAGCAUAUCAAUAAGCGGAGGA